GGACUCUUAGCUCAGAGGAUAGAGCAAUCGCCUUCUAAGCGAUCGGUCACAGGUUCGAAUCCUGUAGGGUCCG
RNAcentral lists this transfer RNA (73 nucleotides) under Leptolyngbyaceae cyanobacterium RU_5_1. RNAcentral describes it as "tRNA-Arg". It matches the Rfam family "tRNA". From Rfam's summary of the family: Transfer RNA (tRNA) molecules are approximately 80 nucleotides in length. Lineage: Bacteria; Bacillati; Cyanobacteriota; Cyanophyceae; Leptolyngbyales; Leptolyngbyaceae. The record is from RNAcentral.